Molecule: long non-coding RNA, 504 nt
Filed under: Cyanistes caeruleus (blue tit)
Lineage: Eukaryota; Metazoa; Chordata; Aves; Passeriformes; Paridae
Description: lncRNA (ENSCCEG00000003403.1)
Source: RNAcentral
UUCAGAUUCACAAUAUAGGACUUUAUAUCUUGUUUAGCUUGGACCACAAUUAGCUGAAAGAAGAGCUCUUGAGCUGGUUUAAAGCCAACAGUCUUAACUUCCCCAGGUGUAGUUAAUUGUUACUCAACAUAGCUUAACAUUGGUGAGCUAAAUGGCAGGUGGGAAGCUUUUGUAAUCAACAGCAGAGCAGCUGCUCCUUCCUUCCUUCCUUCCUUCCUUCCUUCCUUCCUUCCUUCCUUCCUUCCUUCCCUCCUUCCCUCCUUCCCUCCUUCCCUCCUUCCCUCCUUCCCUCCUUCCCUCCUUCCCUCCUUCCUUCCCUCCCUCCCCAUCUGUCCAGAAGGCUUUGAGAAGCAGCUUUCUCUUAUAUUUUGCAAAAUGGAUAAAGACAAGCAAAUAACCCAAAGACAACUCCAGUUCUCGUGGACCCACCCAAAUAAACACAGAACUCCGCCCAACCUAUUACAGAAAUGGAGAUCCAAGAAGCAAGCUUUUCAGGUGACAUAG